CGGCUGGCGGCGUGCCUAACACAUGCAAGUCGAACGGAGUGUUGAGAGCUUGCUUUGACACUUAGUGGCGGACGGGUGAGUAAUGCGUGAGCAACCUGCUUUCAGAGGGGGACAACAGUUGGAAACGACUGCUAAUACCGCAUAAUGUAUCGUGAGGGCAUCCUCGUGAUACCAAAGGAGCAAUCCGCUGAAAGAUGGGCUCACGUCUGAUUAGCUAGUUGGUGGGGUAACGGCUCACCAAGGCUGCGAUCAGUAGCCGGACUGAGAGGUUGAACGGCCACAUUGGGGCUGAGAUACGGCCCAGACUCCUACGGGAGGCAGCAGUGGGGAAUAUUGGGCAAUGGGCGAAAGCCUUCGACCCAGCAACGCCGCGUGAAGGAAGAAGGUCUUCGGAUUGUAAACUUCUUUUAUGAGGGACGAAGGACGUGACGGUACCUCAUGAAUAAGCCACGGCUAACUACGUGCCAGCCGCCGC
Molecule: ribosomal RNA, 475 nt
Filed under: uncultured bacterium
Lineage: Bacteria
Description: bacterial SSU rRNA
Rfam family: Bacterial small subunit ribosomal RNA
Source: RNAcentral